Molecule: long non-coding RNA, 357 nt
Organism: Oncorhynchus tshawytscha (Chinook salmon)
Lineage: Eukaryota; Metazoa; Chordata; Actinopteri; Salmoniformes; Salmonidae
Source: Ensembl
ACAGGCCGACAUGGUAGAAAACACCCCCGUAAGAACAGGCCGACAUGGUAGAAUACACCCCCGUAAGAACAGGCUGACAUGGUAGAAAACACCCCCGUAAGAACAGGUCGACAUGGUAGAAAACACCCCCGUAAGAACAGGCUGACAUGGUAGAAAACACCCCCGUAAGAACAGGUCGACAUGGUAGAAAACACCCCCGUAAGAACAGGCUGACAUGGUAGAAAACACCCCCGUAAGAACAGGUCGACAUUGUAGAAAACACCCCCGUAAGAACAGGUCGACAUGGUAGAAAACACCCCCGUAAGAACAGGCCGACAUGGUAGAAAACACCCCCGUAAGAACAGGCUGACAUGGUAG